Molecule: non-coding RNA, 1282 nt
Organism: Zonotrichia albicollis (white-throated sparrow)
Lineage: Eukaryota; Metazoa; Chordata; Aves; Passeriformes; Passerellidae
Source: RefSeq, a predicted model, not a curated record
GUAAAGGAAUGAGAGAAGUCAGAUGGCUGCUGCAAGGACCAGGAACAGUCAGUGCUCAGAGGAGGUGGAGAUUGCACAGGAGUAUUAAUUAGUCACUGCAGAGUGAACCAGGAAUGCAGCCCUGGAAUGCAAGGUAUAUCCUGAGCAGGAUGAGAGGUGAAUACUGUGGGCAUUAAAAUUUAGGGACUGCAGCUCCAGUGGUUGUUUCAGCAGCGCCAGGCCUCCUGGGGUCAUCGUGAAAUCUUAUAAACAUCAGGCUGUCGUUGGCUGCGCCAUGCAAUCGCCUCACUCUUCCCUGAUCUUUUACUGCCGUGCUAAAUCAUGUUUUGCAGGAUGCCUGAGAAAAGACCCAACAUAAACAGCAUUUAUCACCCUGUGCAUGUCGGCCCUUCCGAAAGUCUGCGGCUGGGUUACGUGCGCCCUCCUCGUAAAACUCCUGCAGGGACCUUACUGGUUUUGUAACUUUCUCCCAGCCUUGAGUAACUUUAUUCCAGUCCUGAAUAACUUCCUCUCAGUAUGGCUGGUGACUCAGGGGUUUCUUCUGAUCUCCUCAUGCUGGGGAAGGUGCUGGAGGAGGUCCUGGGGUCACACAUGGGGAGGAUGAAUAUAACCCUGUAUCUGGAAACCCUUGCAUCCCUGGAAUUUGUUGGCUCUUUGGGAGUGCUCACGUUGCCAUAACACAGGGUGAUGUGGGGUAUCUUGUGGCUGGAGGUGCCUGGCUUGCUCCUGUGGUGGUUCGUUCGCUUGCAGGAGCCAGUGCUCCCUCCUCCCUUUCCUGUGACUACAAAAAAUGCUCUGCCAGAUGCGAGUAAAAUCAAUUAUGGGAUAAAAAUUGCCCUUUUCAAAAGCUUCAUUUUGCGCUAUUAGCAGGCAAAAUCGGCUUUGAGACGGUGUGAACUGAGGAGGGGGGGAAAAAAAAGAAAAGCAGAAGAAAAGAUCAAUUAUGGGAUAAGAUCACAAUUUUCUUUGGGGCUGAGAUGUGUGUAAAUGUUUGCAUCUCUCAGUGUUACAGGUAGGCUGAGAUCAAAGAGGUUGUGCUGCUGUAGCGAUGAGAUCUUAUCGGUGCUGUUUUGUGCUGCCUGCCUCAGACACUGCCAAAGGAUGCUUAAACCCCCGACAGCUUCUGCUGCUCAGGGAUGCUUCAACCCCAACAGCACUGAGCCACCAAGAAAUGCUUAUACCCCCCCAGGUUGUUGAAGCUGCUGGGUAAUCCCAAAAUGCAGCUCUUCCAUCCUUCUGGAGCAGGGCGGGGAAGUGCUUCCCUGCUCUUCUCCCUACAGUA